Molecule: ribosomal RNA, 230 nt
Filed under: uncultured bacterium
Lineage: Bacteria
Description: partial 16S ribosomal RNA
Rfam family: Bacterial small subunit ribosomal RNA
Source: RNAcentral
UGAGCAAUCUGCCCUUCUCAUCGGAAUAAGCGUUGGAAACGACGUCUAAUGCCGAAUACGACCUCCUUUCGCAUGAUCGGAGGUGGAAAGCUCCGGAGGAGAAGGAUGAGCUCGCGGCCUAUCAUCUAGUUGGUGUGGUAAUGGCCCACCAAGGCGACGACGGGUAGCCGGCCUGAGAGGGUGACCGGCCACACGUGGGACUGAGACACGGCCCAGUCUCCUACAGGAGG